AGCCAGGGCUGGUUGUGCCCCUGCUCUCCCUCUGCAGAGCCCGGGGCUUCCUCCUCCAGCGUGGGGAUGGCUCCAUUCCUUUUGCACUGGAGGGGGAGGAUGCGGGUGAUCAUGGGCCUGCCCGUUUGCAUUGUAUUAAACAUCACACAUUGCAAUGCCAUCUCACAUGAUUUGCUCUGUAGAGGUAGGAGCGCAGGCGGGAGGUAUGUAGAUGUUGGCGCACCAUCCAUUUUGUAUUGCCUUGCAAGCUCUCAUCGCUUGCAUUGAAAAGGGGGCAGAAUGCAGAUGCUGCUGCUCAGUCAGUCGUGCCCUGUGUUAAGCACCACAUAGUGGGCGCUACCAGGAUAAAAAUAAAUAACAUUGCAAUGCAUACUACCGUGGUCUGUGUUGGCUGGAGUGGAAGGCAGAGCUAAAGACAGAUGCGUUAUUCAGUUUGCUUUACACUGCAAUGCAGACUCCCUUGGAUGCAGGGAGGGAAGUAUUAAAAUUCACAAACUGCAAUGCAAUGAAAUCUAUCCAGAAACCAAAUCCUUCAGUCUUUACUCAGCCAGAAGCCUAGCUGAAAUCAAGGACAUUUUUCCUAGGUAUAAGCAGCAGCAUAGAUACUAAUGUCUGACUUGGCAAUCAAAUACGGCUGGUGUGACUACAUCGACCAGAGAUGGACCCAGAGCAUCAGGACAACCCGAAUCUGACACGUUGCUCACCAGCACAUAGAAAGAUUGAAAAAACCAAGAGUUUGAAAAUCAGAAAGCAAACCAAAGUAGUCCCAUAAAAUUAAUUUGCAUCCAGAAGAGCAAACCCCCGUUCAUUCUACCCACACAUUACAACACCUUUGCUAGAACCACCAUGUUCUGAAAAGAGCAGGAAACUACAGGAUAAUACUCUGAGGGAAGACACUCAGUGUUAUGCUCCCUGUUUGCCAGUUGGGCAGUGCUGCUUCUAACUUUGCUGUGUAACCAUCCCUUGGCAAAGUGACCAGUUUACCUCACAGCUAUUUAUUUUGGGGGCUGGACGAUGACCCAGACCACUUGCUUUAUCAGCAGCUAGAAAGUCAAUCUGCAUUUCUUAUUCAAGCUUCCCAUAAAAAUGUCUUGAUUUAACAAUCUGCUCAACUGUGACGAUUUGGAGGUUCUGUCUGUACCAAUUCUGAGUUGUGGAUGAGGUUAUGAAAUUGUAUCAUGACAUUACCGUGUCUUGGAAAGCCUAUAUGUUUUUAGAACCACCGCGAGUUAGCAGAGUUGUUUCACAUUUUUGCCAGGCCAGAGACAAUGGUGGGUGACAAAGCAGACAAUAGCCUAUUCAAAGUAAAAUACCUUUGGACAAUGGAUUUGCUCUAGCUGGGAUAAGACACUUCCUCCUCUUGUCUGAAGGGGGGAGGGGCGUGCCUUGGGAGCAAUGGAAAGUUACCAAAAAGCAGAACAAAAGCAGCAGGUCACCCCCACUCCCCGGCAGGAAAUUAUAAAGGGACACACAGAGGGGACAUGGGGGAGGGAGCCAUUUUAUACCAGAUUAAGAUGAGGGAGCCUGCAGCGGGGGCAGGAUAGGCAAGGGGGCAGAGAACCCUGCCUGCCUGAUGGAACACAGAUGAGCUCCCAAGGGAAAGGUGAGCUACUGAGGGACAUUGCGUUUAGGAUAUUUUAUGGUUUUCUGUAUGAUCUGUAUUCUAUGUGUUUUGUUAAGUAAAGAACAGCGGUGCUAGAAUCGGUGCUAAGCCUAUCUACCAGUAUGGUUUGGUCUACACUACAAGGUUAGAUCGACAUAGGGUGACCAGAUGUCCCAAUUUUAUAGGGACAGACCCGAUAUUUGGAGCUGUGUCUUAUAUAGGCUCCUAUUACCCCCCACCCCCAUCCCAAUUUUUCACACUUCCUGUCUGGUCACCCUAAGUCGACAUAAGGCAGCUUACAUUGUCUACAUGAAAAUGCACUACACUACACUGCAAGCGUCUACAUGAAAAUGUCACUCCCACUGAUGUAACUUACCCACUACGACUACUUAAUAACUCCACCUCUGUGAGAGGCGUAGCGUUUAGGUUGAUGUUCGGUUGACACAGUGUCAGUGUAGACACUGCAUUGCUUACAUUGACUGCUACUGCCUUUCAGAAGCCAUCCCACAAUACCCAACAUUGACAAUUGAAUCGGUGCAAGCGCUCCUGGUGAGGACACGCACCAACAACACAAGGAGCUUAGUGCAGAUAUGGAAAAGCAAUUUAAUUACUCCAGUGACUGUAAGUCAACGUAACGUAGGUCGAUUUAGUUUUAUAGUGUAGACUUGCCCUUAGUGUUUAAGCGCUCACAACUACCACAUUGGCCCUGAAAGAGAGAAACUGUAAACCAGAAGCUUCACACCUUUUGGGUGGGUUCUAGGAGAAGGGUAUGCUUAAGUACAAGGGAGCUGAAGGCUCAGUGCUGCAUGCAGAGGGGCUAGACAGCUGGACAGUGGGUUACAACACUCAGAGUGGGGUGCUAGAUAGAAGGUCUGAGCUGAGAGAGUAUGCCUAGAGACUCAGAGAUUGGGGCCAUGGCUGGAUUCCAGUCAGGCCCCAACAGUUUGAAACACCCCAGGGACACAAAGCAACACAGGCUUGGAUUCCCCUUGUAGCAGUCCAACUGGGCUAGGAAGGGGGACUUGCUAGGAUGUGCGACACCAAUAUACGCUAGAUAGCACAUCAUAUCAAUAGAAGCCUCUAGCCCAGCUGUUGCAGUGUAUAGCUGAAUCCUGACAUUCUAUCAAUGUUUCACCAGCUGAGAGUGUGUUAUAAUGUAUAUUUUUCUUUUGGUAAGUAGGAGCCCAACCCAACAAAUCCUUACUCACAGGAGUAAUCUUAUUGACUCAAUGCACAAUUAAGGACCACAUACACACAAGUAAAGGUUUGCAUGGGAACUGUAAAUGUAUUUGGAAUCGAUUCACAGCAGUCUGGACAGUUGGCAUAUACAUACAAGACAGUACUCUCUGCAAAGUAAUACAUUUUUCAAAUGUAAAUAAUCAAACAACCUGAUCUUAUUAUAUACAUCAGAAAAAAUCGUAUUCAAAAAGCAUAAUCCAGAAUGACAUGGCUAUUACUGUGUCCUAAAAUGGUGAAAACAACAUUAAAUAACAUUACCAUCCCAGGUACGAUGGUAAAUUAUUUAACUUGAGUUCUACUAAAACAUGUGCUCCUAACAUCUCUUUUCCAACUUGAGUGUCAUCUCAAACAGUUUAUCAGAAGGAAAAAUAUUGCAGCGCUUAUCUAAAUAGUUCUGAUCCUCCAAAACCUAUGAAGGCGAGACACUGCGGAGAGAAUAUGUCAGGGCCCCUUUAUGUAGAUAUAGAUGCUUUCCCAAAUUACCUUAAUUAAAAAAAAAAAAAGAAUUAAUCUGCAAUUAUGUCACUUUGUGCUAUGGCACUACCAGAUCUCAGGGCUUGUCUCCACUACCGGCCGGAUCGACAGGCAGUGAUCAAUUUAGCAGGGGUUGAUUUAUCGUGUCUAGUAUAGAUACGUUUCAGAGCAGCAGCCAUGUUAGUCUGUAUCCGCAAAAAGAACAGGAGUACUUGUGGCACCUUAGAGACUAACAAAUUUAUUAGAGCAUAAGCUUUCGUGGGCUGUAGCCCACUUCAUCAAAUGCAUAGAAUGGAACAUAUAGUAAGAUAGAUAUACACAUACAGAUAAGAAAGGAGUACUUGUGGCACCUUAGAGACUAACCAAUUUAUUUGAGCAUGAGCUUUCGUGAGCUACAGCUUUUCUCACCCUGGAUUUGUGCUGGAAAUGGCCCAACCUGAUGAACACUUUAGAUAAGCUAU
Molecule: long non-coding RNA, 3777 nt
Organism: Caretta caretta (loggerhead turtle)
Lineage: Eukaryota; Metazoa; Chordata; Testudines; Cheloniidae
Source: RefSeq, a predicted model, not a curated record